This 72-nucleotide transfer RNA is filed under the name Diporiphora magna. RNAcentral describes it as "tRNA-Trp". The record is from RNAcentral. Lineage: Eukaryota; Metazoa; Chordata; Lepidosauria; Squamata; Agamidae.
UAGGAACUUAGGCUAAGCUUAAACCGAGGGCCUUCAAAGCCCUAAAUAAGAGACAUCCCUCUUAGUCCCUGA